Molecule: ribosomal RNA, 305 nt
Filed under: uncultured bacterium
Lineage: Bacteria
Description: bacterial SSU rRNA
Rfam family: Bacterial small subunit ribosomal RNA
Source: RNAcentral
GAGCGCCUACGGGGGGCAGCAGUCGGGAAUAUUGCGCAAUGGAGGAAACUCUGAUGCAGCGACGCCGCGUGAGUGAAGAAGUAUUUCGGUAUGUAAAGCUCUAUCAGCAGGGAAGAUAAUGACGGUACCUGACUAAGAAGCCCCGGCUAACUACAUGCCAGCAGCCGCGGUAAUACGUAGGGGGCAAGCGUUAUCCGGAUUUACUGGGUGUAAAGGGUGCGUAGGUGGCAGGGCAAGUCAGAUGUGAAAGCCCGGGGCUCAACCCCGGUACUGCAUUUGAAACUGUCCAGCUGGAGUGCAGUAGA